This 465-nucleotide ribosomal RNA is filed under the name uncultured bacterium. Its description in RNAcentral is "partial 16S ribosomal RNA". It matches the Rfam family "Bacterial small subunit ribosomal RNA", at positions 28 to 507 of the family's 1533-position model. The record is from RNAcentral.
GACGAACGCUGGCGGCGUGCUUAACACAUGCAAGUCGAACGGAAAGGCCCUGCUUGCAGGGUACUCGAGUGGCGAACGGGUGAGUAACACGUGGGUGAUCUGCCCUGCACUUCGGGAUAAGCCUGGGAAACUGGGUCUAAUACCGGAUAGAAGCCAUCUUUAGUGUGAUGGUUGGAAAGGUUUUUCGGUGUAGGAUGAGGUCGCGGCCUAGUAGCUUGUUGGUGGGGUAAUGGCCUACCAAGGCGGCGGCGGGUAGCCGGUCUGUGAGGGUGGCAGGCCAUCGUGAGACUGGUAGGCGGCCCAGAAGCCUACGAGAGGCCCAAACGGGGAAUAUUGCACGAUGCGGCAACGCCUGCUGCAGCAACGCCGCGGGGGGGAUGACGGCCUUCGGGUUGUACACACGUUUCGCUAUGGACGAAGCGUAGUGUGACGGUACCUAGAGAAUAAGCCCCGGCUAACUACGUG